UGGGGAAUAUUGCACAAUGGGGGAAACCCUGAUGCAGCGACGCCGCGUGGAGGAAGAAGGUCUUCGGAUUGUAAACUCCUGUUGUUGGGGAAGAUAAUGACGGUACCCAACAAGGAAGUGACGGCUAACUACGUGCCAGCAGCCGCGGUAAAACGUAGGUCACAAGCGUUGUCCGGAAUUACUGGGUGUAAAGGGAGCGCAGGCGGGUGAUCAAGUUGGAAGUGAAAUCCAUGGGCUCAACCCAUGAACUGCUUUCAAAACUGAUCGUCUUGAGUAGUGCAGAGGUAGGCGGAAUUCCCGGUGUAGCGGUGGAAUGCGUAGAUAUCGGGAGGAACACCAGUGGCGAAGGCGGCCUACUGGGCACCAACUGACGCUGAGGCUCGAAAGUGUGGGUAGCAAACAGGAUUAGAUACCCUGGUAGUCCACACCGUAAACGAUGAUUACUAGGUGUUGGAGGAUUGACCCCUUCAGUGCCGCAGUUAACACAAUAAGUAAUCCACCUGGGGAGUACGACCGCAAGGUUGAAACUCAAAGGAAUUGACGGGGGCCCGCACAAGCAGUGGAGUAUGUGGUUUAAUUCGACGCAACGCGAAGAACCUUACCAAGUCUUGACAUCCUGCGACGAACAUAGAAAUAUGUUUUUCCUUCGGGACGCAGAGACAGGUGGUGCAUGGUUGUCGUCAGCUCGUGUCGUGAGAUGUUGGGUUAAGUCCCGCAACGAGCGCAACCCUUAUGGUCAGUUACUACGCAAGAGGACUCUGGCCAGACUGCCGUUGACAAAACGGAGGAAGGUGGGGAUGACGUCAAAUCAUCAUGCCCUUUAUGACUUGGGCUACACACGUACUACAAUGGCGUUAAACAAAGAGAAGCAAGACCGCGAGGUGGAGCAAAACUCAGAAACAACGUCCCAGUUCGGACUGCAGGCUGCAACUCGCCUGCACGAAGUCGGAAUUGCUAGUAAUCGCAGAUCAGCAUGCCGCGGUGAAUACGUUCCC
This 995-nucleotide ribosomal RNA is filed under the name uncultured bacterium. RNAcentral describes it as "bacterial SSU rRNA". It matches the Rfam family "Bacterial small subunit ribosomal RNA", at positions 355 to 1375 of the family's 1533-position model. The record is from RNAcentral.